UCUAAUGUGGCAGAAUAGUGCAAUAAAUUUAAGGCUUAUACAAAAAGAAAAUCUUUCUUUAGAU
RNAcentral lists this transfer RNA (64 nucleotides) under Dictyoptera aurora. Its description in RNAcentral is "tRNA-Leu". Lineage: Eukaryota; Metazoa; Arthropoda; Insecta; Coleoptera; Lycidae. The record is from RNAcentral.